AGAUAAUGUCACUAAUGAAGGAGAUGAAACAAAAUUGCUGGUGAUGAGGGAGCUUUUAGAUGACACAAAUCAAGGAGAAACUGUAUUUAGUUCAAACCCAAAUGGUGAUAUUUAUAUCGCAGAAAACCCAACUACAGUUUUGAUGUCCAACGUAAAAGAAUUUGCAGAAUCUAGACAGAGUGUUCUUGGUGAAGAACAGCCCCCACAGCCAGUAGAAUCUACGUAUAAUAGCUUUAAAGAGACAGAACCUAUAAAUGUUAUGGAUAAAGGCUGUCAAGCGAAUGAGCAGAUUAAAG
Molecule: unclassified non-coding RNA, 296 nt
Filed under: Hevea brasiliensis (rubber tree)
Lineage: Eukaryota; Viridiplantae; Streptophyta; Magnoliopsida; Malpighiales; Euphorbiaceae
Source: RNAcentral